GCAUUAGUAGCUCAGUGUGAAAGAGCAUCGGUCUUGUAAGUCGAAUGUCAGAGGUUUAAGUCCUCUCUAAUGCC
This 74-nucleotide transfer RNA is filed under the name Marilyna darwinii (Darwin toadfish). RNAcentral describes it as "tRNA-Thr". It matches the Rfam family "tRNA". Rfam says of the family: Transfer RNA (tRNA) molecules are approximately 80 nucleotides in length. Their secondary structure includes four short double-helical elements and three loops (D, anti-codon, and T loops). The record is from RNAcentral. Lineage: Eukaryota; Metazoa; Chordata; Actinopteri; Tetraodontiformes; Tetraodontidae.